CUUCAACUGACAUGAUAGACGGCACGGGGCAGCAGAGCGGUAGGUGUGAAAGGUUUGUGGAAUCAUUGGGGGUACGGACUACGCAAAAUGAGUGCGGUGUUAGUGACCUGGUAUUGGCCAUUGGGUAGCCAUACUGUGGUUGAGUUGAAAACCAGCAUUACAAGGAGGUUGCAGAGUUAAUUAAAAUAGUAUGAAUUGCAUGAUUUGGUUGG
Molecule: long non-coding RNA, 212 nt
Filed under: Theobroma cacao (cacao)
Lineage: Eukaryota; Viridiplantae; Streptophyta; Magnoliopsida; Malvales; Malvaceae
Description: long non-coding RNA (TCAC_LNC005108)
Source: RNAcentral